This 497-nucleotide ribosomal RNA is filed under the name uncultured bacterium. Its description in RNAcentral is "bacterial SSU rRNA". It matches the Rfam family "Bacterial small subunit ribosomal RNA", at positions 28 to 565 of the family's 1533-position model. The record is from RNAcentral.
AUUGAACGCUGGCGGCAUGGCUAAAACAUGCAAGUCGAACGAGAACCUCGCAAGAGGGGACAGUGGCGGAAGGGUCAGUAAUGGGAUCGAACGUACCCAGAGGUGGAGGAUAGCGUUGGGAAACUGACGGUAAUACUCCAUGUCCUCUACGGAGAAAAGAUUUAUCGCCUUUGGAGCGGCGAUCCUCCUAUCAGGUAGUUGGCGGGGUAAAAGCCCACCAAGCCGAAGACGGGUAGCGGGUGUGAGAGCACGGCCCGCGACAUCGAGACUGAGACACUGCUCGGACUCCUACGGGAGGCUGCAGUAACGAAUAUUCCGCAAUGCGCGAAAGCGUGACGGAGCAAUGCCGCGUGCAGGAUGAAGCGGUUUUGCCGUGUAAACUGCUGUCAGGGAUAAGAAAUACUGAUCUAUCCCAGAGGAAGGGGCGACUAACUCUGUGCCAGCAGUCGCGGUAAUACAGAGGCCCCGAGCGUUAAUCGGAAUCACUGGGCGUUAAA